Molecule: ribosomal RNA, 740 nt
Filed under: Acarospora brattiae
Lineage: Eukaryota; Fungi; Ascomycota; Lecanoromycetes; Acarosporales; Acarosporaceae
Description: Acarospora sp. EH-2022d partial large subunit ribosomal RNA
Rfam family: Eukaryotic large subunit ribosomal RNA
Source: RNAcentral
GAUCGAAAGAUGAAAAGCACUUUAGAAAGAGAGUUAGACAGUCACGUGAAAGUGAGGAAAGGGUAGCGCUCGCAACCAGACUUGCCAUGCGAGUGAUCAGCCGGUGUUCUCACCGGUGCACUCGCCAGUGGUCAGGCCAGCAUCGGUCCGGGCGACAGGACAAAAUCUCCCGGAAAGUGGCUCCCUUCGGGGAGUGUUAUAGCCGGGGGAGCAACACGGCCCGCCUGGACCGAGGACCGCGCUUCGCGCUAGGAAGCUGGGGUAAUGGUAGCAAGCGACCCGUCGGGAAACACGGACCAAGGAGUGUAACAUCCAUGCGAGGGUUUGGGGGUCAAACCCAUGCGGGUAAUGAAAGUGAACGGAGGGGGGAACCCUUCAGGGUGCACCAUCGACCGAUCCUGAUGUGUUCGGAUGGAUUUGAGUAAGAGCAUGGCUGUUGGGACCCGAAAGAUGGUGAAUUAUGCCUGAAUAGGGUGAAGCCAGAGGAAACUAUGGAGGAGGCUCGCAGCGGUUCUGACGUGCAAAUCGAUAGUCAAAUUUGGGUAUAGGGGCGAAAGACUAAUCGAACCAUCUGUCACUAGAUGGCAUACGGGCACUCGAUGUCUUCGUAGUCCCCGGUCCCGGGGGCGACAUCGCCGGUCUUACGGGGACGCCUUCAGGCUACCCGGAGUGGGCCCCUGGGCCCAUCAACAGAGUAAGUGGCGGUGGCUGUGGCCCCAAGCGCGGUUAGGAAUAGCCGU